RNAcentral lists this ribosomal RNA (706 nucleotides) under uncultured Stenotrophomonas sp. RNAcentral's name for it is "bacterial SSU rRNA". It matches the Rfam family "Bacterial small subunit ribosomal RNA", at positions 1 to 700 of the family's 1533-position model. The record is from RNAcentral. Lineage: Bacteria; Pseudomonadati; Pseudomonadota; Gammaproteobacteria; Lysobacterales; Lysobacteraceae.
UAGAGUUUGAUCAUGGCUCAGAGUGAACGCUGGCGGUAGGCCUAACACAUGCAAGUCGAACGGCAGCACAGUAAGAGCUUGCUCUUAUGGGUGGCGAGUGGCGGACGGGUGAGGAAUACAUCGGAAUCUACUUUUUCGUGGGGGAUAACGUAGGGAAACUUACGCUAAUACCGCAUACGACCUUCGGGUGAAAGCAGGGGACCUUCGGGCCUUGCGCGAUUGAAUGAGCCGAUGUCGGAUUAGCUAGUUGGCGGGGUAAAGGCCCACCAAGGCGACGAUCCGUAGCUGGUCUGAGAGGAUGAUCAGCCACACUGGAACUGAGACACGGUCCAGACUCCUACGGGAGGCAGCAGUGGGGAAUAUUGGACAAUGGGCGCAAGCCUGAUCCAGCCAUACCGCGUGGGUGAAGAAGGCCUUCGGGUUGUAAAGCCCUUUUGUUGGGAAAGAAAAGCAGCGGGCUAAUACCUUGCUGUUCUGACGGUACCCAAAGAAUAAGCACCGGCUAACUUCGUGCCAGCAGCCGCGGUAAUACGAAGGGUGCAAGCGUUACUCGGAAUUACUGGGCGUAAAGCGUGCGUAGGUGGUUGUUUAAGUCUGUUGUGAAAGCCCUGGGCUCAACCUGGGAACUGCAGUGGAAACUGGAUGACUAGAGUGUGGUAGAGGGUAGCGGAAUUCCCGGUGUAGCAGUGAAAUGCGUAGAGAUCCG